UAAACGACUCUCGGCAACGGAUAUCUCGGCUCUCGCAUCGAUGAAGAACGCAGCGAAAUGCGAUACUUGGUGUGAAUUGCAGAAUCCCGUGAACCAUCGAGUCUUUGAACGCAAGUUGCGCCCGAAGCCAUUAGGCUGAGGGCACGUCUGCCUGGGCGU
This 159-nucleotide ribosomal RNA is filed under the name Pheidonocarpa corymbosa. RNAcentral's name for it is "5.8S ribosomal RNA". It matches the Rfam family "5.8S ribosomal RNA". From Rfam's summary of the family: 5.8S ribosomal RNA (5.8S rRNA) is a component of the large subunit of the eukaryotic ribosome. It is transcribed by RNA polymerase I as part of the 45S precursor that also contains 18S and 28S rRNA. The record is from RNAcentral. Lineage: Eukaryota; Viridiplantae; Streptophyta; Magnoliopsida; Lamiales; Gesneriaceae.